AGAAUGAACGCUGGCGGCGUGCCUAACACAUGCAAGUCGUGCGCGAAAGGGACUUCGGUCCCCGGUAGAGCGGCGAACGGGUGAGUAACACGUGGGUAACCUGUCUGAGAGUGGGGGAUAACCUGGGGAAACUCGGGCUAAUACCGCAUACGUCCGCUGGGCUUCGGCUCGGCGAGGAAAGGUGGCCUCUGCUUGCAAGCCACCACUCCCAGAGGGGCCCGCGCCUGAUUAGCUAGUUGGCGGGUAACGGCCCACCAAGGCGACGAUCAGUAGCCGGCCUGAGAGGGCGAUCGGCCACACUGGAACUGAGACACGGUCCAGACUCCUACGGGAGGCAGCAGUGAGGAAUCUUGCGCAAUGGGGGAAACCCUGACGCAGCAACGCCGCGUGGAGGAUGAAGGCUUUCGGGCGUAAACUCCUGUCAGAUGGGACGAAGGCUUGCGGCAAAUAGUCCGUAAGCUUGACGGUACCAUCAGAGAAGCCCCGGCUAACUCUAGUGCCAGCCA
This 506-nucleotide ribosomal RNA is filed under the name uncultured soil bacterium. RNAcentral's name for it is "bacterial SSU rRNA". It matches the Rfam family "Bacterial small subunit ribosomal RNA", at positions 26 to 514 of the family's 1533-position model. The record is from RNAcentral.